This 332-nucleotide unclassified non-coding RNA is filed under the name soil metagenome. Its description in RNAcentral is "partial contains 5.8S ribosomal RNA, internal transcribed spacer 2, and large subunit ribosomal RNA". The stretch from base 1 to 120 matches the Rfam family "5.8S ribosomal RNA", at positions 35 to 154 of the family's 154-position model. The record is from RNAcentral.
GAUGAAGAACGCAGUGAAAUGCGAUAAGUAAUGUGAAUUGCAGAAUUCAGUGAAUCAUCGAAUCUUUGAACGCACAUUGCGCCCGCUAGUAUUCUGGCGGGCAUGCCUGUUCGAGCGUCAUUUCAACCCUCAAGCACUGCUUGGUGUUGGGGCCCUGCGCCUGCAGGCCCUGAAAUACAGUGGCGGAUCGCCCGGAAAUCUCUCUGCGUAGUACUUAACACCUCGCUCUGGGACCCGGCGGUGCCUGCCGUAAACCCCCCAAAUUUACCAAGGUUGACCUCGGAUCAGGUAGGAAUACCCGCUGAACUUAAGCAUAUCAAUAAGCGGAAGGA